GGGGCCCUCCAGUCCACAGAAAGCUUACCCAGGCUCAGAGCCCACGGCAGGCAGCAUCCCCAGGCCUUGCACGGCAGAGCAGAAUUUCUCAGCCAGAGACCAGCAAUCCAGGAAGUGCAGGAUCGGCGAGUCCUGCAAGUCCUUUCCAAGGACGCAGCACAGUGGCCACAGGCCUCCCACGAGACCCCACGGUGCAAGGGCCCCAGACCUCCUGGGGGUGCACAUCUGCUGGACACUUAUGCAACGGGGCACUGAGGCCCGCUCCAGUGGAGGAGAAAGCACGUUUACGACUGCCUGCCGGUAAUGACUUCCCUUUGCUUGAAUCAGUUGGUCCAAAAGCUGUGUUAUUUUCCUGGCUCCACUUAUUCAUGUCCUUAAACCGCAGGGGGCUAAGGUUACAGCAGACUUAGUCCUAGCCAGAGAGCAGGCGAGUCUGGACAAGUGAAGAGCAUACAUUUUAACUCAUGUGGGAAUGCAGGAAGAGCAACACCGUGCCUGUCUCCCUUUCUGCUGCUAUUGGAGAAGUGCUUGGAAUUGUCUGGAAAGGAAUAAGACUGAAGUUGGUGAGGAUAACUGAGAUCUACACAAGGGAGUCGAUGCCAAGAACUACAGGAAUCACAAUGGGAAUGAAAUAAACAAACAUGGAACAGAGUGGACCCUGUGUGGGCAGCUGAGCGAGAUGGACAGUCAUAAGUAACCCUCAGGACUUUGGCUUGAAAUCAUUUAUACAUGGGGCUGGCCUUUGUUCAGACAAGAAAGGAAAAUACAGUAAAGUGCAAAUGAUAUCUGUGUUAGUCUUUGUUGUGUUAAAGUGUCCAACUAUUUUAGUUUUACAAGCAGAAAAUGACUGCAUCUCAUUCAGAGAUUUUCAGAUUGUGGAAAUGUGCUUCACUGCUAUAGAUUCUUGAAUGAAGUAACAGCAAGUGUAUUUUUCUUCAGUGUAACUGUUGUGUUUUAGAUAGAAUGUUCCCCAAAAGCUCAUGUGGUCAGAGGCAGGGAUUUGGAAGGUGACUGAUCGUGGGGCACCUUAGCCAUCAGUGGAUUCAUCCUGAUGGGUUCACAGCUGAAUGUGCUGUUAGCAGUUGGAGCCUGGUGGGAAGAAG
RNAcentral lists this long non-coding RNA (1103 nucleotides) under Heterocephalus glaber (naked mole-rat). Its description in RNAcentral is "lncRNA (ENSHGLG00000036255.1)". The record is from RNAcentral. Lineage: Eukaryota; Metazoa; Chordata; Mammalia; Rodentia; Bathyergidae.